UCCAUCGUGAGGUGGAAUCUGAAGGAAGCCGAAGGCAAAGCACUGGUCCGACGAACAGGAAUCGCAUACGAGGCGACGGCAGUGGGUGAGAAGGCGUCUAUCUUCAAAGCCCGGUACUUGCACGGGAGCUGUCGGCGUAGAUGCGGCGGGCAUAAGUGUGAAGGUCGCGCGC
This 172-nucleotide non-coding RNA is filed under the name Alkalispirillum mobile. Lineage: Bacteria; Pseudomonadati; Pseudomonadota; Gammaproteobacteria; Chromatiales; Ectothiorhodospiraceae. The record is from RNAcentral.